UCCAGAGUAAAGCUGAUCUGCUCUGGGUAAGUCGGGGCCUAAGGAGAGGCAGAGAUGCGUAUCCGAUGGACAGCAGGUUUAAGAUUCCUGCACCCCUUGUUAUCAGAACUGCGGGGACACGGGAAGGGAAGCAGAGCCGGGAAUGGAAAGCCCGGUGCAAGCGAAGUAGUCGCAGGGUUGGAAAAUCCGCCCUGCAUGAGACGAAGGCGUGAUGCGGAGCGAAAUGAAGUAGUGAAGCUGCGGCCCCUUCCUGUCGAGAAAAGCCGCUAUCGUGUAGCAAGGGCCCGUACCGUAAACCGACACAGGUGGAUGAGGAGAGGAUCCUAAGGCCGGCGGGAGAAGUGUUGUUAAGGAACUCGGCAAAAUGACUCCGUAACUUCGGGAGAAGGAGUGCUGCGCAAGCAGCCGCAGAGAAAUGGCCCAAGCAACUGUUUAGCAAAAACACAGGUCUAUGCGAAACCGAAAGGUGAGGUAUAUGGGCUGACGCCUGCCCGGUGCUGGAAGGUUAAGGGGAGAGCUUAGCGCAAGCGGAGGUUUGAACUUAAGCCCCAGUAAACGGCGGCCGUAACUAUAACGGUCCUAAGGUAGCGAAAUUCCUUGUCGGGUAAGUUCCGACCCGCACGAAAGGCGUAAUGAUUUGGGCACUGUCUCAACAACACACCCGGUGAAAUUGAAAUACCAGUGAAGAUGCUGGUUACCCGCGCCAGGACGGAAAGACCCCAUGGAGCUUUACUCCAGCCUGAUACUGGGAUUCGGUAUUGCAUGUACAGGAUAGGUGGGAGGCUAAGAACUUAUGGCGCCAGCCGUGAGGGAGCCGAUGUUGGGAUACCACCCCUGCAGUACUGGGUUUCUAACCUGCGCCCGUGACCCGGGCGGGGGACAAUGUCAGGCGGGGAGUUUGACUGGGGCGGUCGCCUCCGAAAGGGUAUCGGAGGCGCUCAAAGGUCUCCUCAGGAUGGUUGGAAACCAUCCAGAGAGUGCAAAGGCAGAAGGAGGCUUGACUGCGACACCGACGGGUGGAGCAGGUACGAAAGUAGGACUUAGUGAUCCGGUGGCAUAAAGUGGGAUUGCCAUCGCUCAACGGAUAAAAGCUACCCUGGGAUAACAGGCUUAUCACUCCCAAGAGUUCACAUCGACGGAGUGAUUUGGCACCUCGAUGUCGGCUCAUCGCAUCCUGGAGCUGGAGCAGGUUCCAAGGGUUGGGCUGUUCGCCCAUUAAAGCGCUACGCGAGCUGGGUUCAGAACGUCGUGAGACAGUUCGGUCCCUAUCCGGCGCGGGCGCAGGAUAUCUGAGAGGAGCUGUCCUUAGUACGAGAGGACCGGGAUGGACCGUCCGCUGGUGGACCGGUUGUCAUGCCAAUGGCACGGCCGGGUAGCCAAGACGGGAAGGGAUAAACGCUGAAGGCAUCUAAGCGUGAAGCCCCCCUCAAGAUGAGAUAUCAUACUCGAAAGAGUGAGAGACCCCUUAGAGACGAUGAGGUAGAUAGGGCAGAGAUGGAAGCACAGCGAUGUGUGGAGUUGACUGUUACUAAUCGGUCGAUAGC
This 1544-nucleotide ribosomal RNA is filed under the name metagenome. Its description in RNAcentral is "bacterial LSU rRNA". It matches the Rfam family "Bacterial large subunit ribosomal RNA", at positions 1353 to 2925 of the family's 2925-position model. The record is from RNAcentral.